Molecule: long non-coding RNA, 1103 nt
Organism: Oryza sativa Japonica Group (Japanese rice)
Lineage: Eukaryota; Viridiplantae; Streptophyta; Magnoliopsida; Poales; Poaceae
Source: RefSeq, a predicted model, not a curated record
UGUUGCCCUUACAGAGAGAAGCAGCGUGGAGAGGGGAGGGCCGGCCGGGCAGCAGCACACUGGUAGCCUGGUAGCAGCUCCCCUCAGUUCUUUCUCCACCUCAGUGACUCCCGCCGCCGCCGGGGGAGCAAAGGGCCGUACGAGCGCGGCGGCGACGGGGAGGGGGACGGAAGCGCUCGCGCCCAUCGCCGCAGCGACGUGGACCAAGCCAAGGGCCGCAGGGAAGCAAAAUUAGGCUGCACGUUGAGCAGUGCUAGCUUGUAGCCGCAACCAAGGGCUGCACGGACGCGCGGCGGCGACGGAGGCAAAGGCAGGCUCCACGUUGAGCAGUGGCUGCCUGUGCUGCUGAGGCUCCCGCAUGGAUGGAGGAGUUCUCCGGCGACUCUACGCUGUGCAAGAAGAAGCUUACAAUUACUCGCAGGACCAACAACAUGAGCAAGAGGAGAAACACCCAGGGGUCUUCCGGCUAGCUCCAUAAGAUAGUGGGCUAGACGACCUAGGAGCAAGAGAGCAUUACCAGAAAGAUGGAUCGAAUUCCUCAAGGCAAUAGAUGUUACGUAGAUGCUUCAUGGGAGGAUCAUGUUACUGGAAUUGGAAUUUUCUUUCAUUUCCCUUCCACCCAUAAUGCUCUUUUUAUCAAGGCUUCCACUAACUCAGCUCAAUCUCCCUUGCAAGCCGAAUUGAUUGCUUUGCAACUGGCUUUGGAAAUUGCCUUCUUUUUGAAUUUUGCAGGUACUAAUUUCCUUACAGACAGCGCUACAAUUGCAGACGAGGUGAAGACAAGGAAUUUCAGUGAGCAACCUGGCCAUUGGAGUCUUCGGCCAUUAUGGAGCCAAAUCACGACAACAAUUCCAAAUCAUCUUCUGAAGGUUUUCUGGAUAUCCAGAGAAAUAAACAUAAUUGCUGACAAGCUAGCUAAAGAAGCUAAAGCUGAUGCUCUAAUAAAGCCUAUCUAUAACUGCCAAAACAUCUCUCACAUUGCCUAUCCUUCGAGAGAUUGUCAUGCUUCUUCUCUGAAUGCUCAUUUCAGUUCUUUAAAUUGUAAAAUAAACCAUGUAUUAUGUUCCUAGUUUAAUAAAUCCUUUACUUAAAAAAAACAACAA